RNAcentral lists this ribosomal RNA (468 nucleotides) under uncultured bacterium. Its description in RNAcentral is "partial 16S ribosomal RNA". It matches the Rfam family "Bacterial small subunit ribosomal RNA", at positions 28 to 507 of the family's 1533-position model. The record is from RNAcentral.
GACGAACGCUGGCGGCGUGCUUAACACAUGCCAGUCGAACGGCAGCGCCCUGCUUUUGUGGGGUGCUCGAGUGGCGAUCGCGUGCGUAACACGUGAGUAACCUGCCCUUGACUUUGGGAUAACUUCAGGUAACUGGGGCUACUACCGUAUAGCAUCUCCUGCUGCAUUGUGGGGGUUGGAUAUUUUCGGCGGUUGCGGUUGGACUCGCGGCUUACCAGCUUGUUGGUUGGGUAGUGGCUGACCCAGGAUUUGACGGGUAGCCGGCCUGGGAGGGGGACCGGCCUCAUUGGGACUGAGGGAGGGACCAGAGUCCUACGGGAGACAGCGGGGGGGAGUAUUGCACAGUGGGCGGAAGCCUGAUGCAGCAACGCCGGGUGCGGGAUGACGGCCUGCGGGUUGAAAAACGCUGUAGCCUGUGACGAAGCGUGAGUGACGGUAAUGGGUGAAGAAGCACCGGCUAACUACGUG